AUGUACAAGAAAUUUCCUUCCCACGUGGUCCUCACGCACUGCCUUGAUGGAGGGGGUCGGGGGAGGGUGCCAGGAGUCAGGUCGUGUGCUCCAGUUGGCCCGAACCAGGGAAGGAGCAAAUGGACACGAAACUCAAAACCAGCAAGCGGCCUUGGACGUGGGAGAGUAAACAUAUCUAAAAGGAGGUGGCCCUUGGUUGUAAACAUUGGUAACAGCCACACCACUGGGCCGCGGGACCCGAGAAGGGCUCGUGGGUGGGUUUUCAGGGUGCGGAUGGUGGGGGGUGUUGAGUGCGAACGGGGGGCGGGGGCCUUGGGGGCGGCAGGGGCGAUGGGGGAGGUAGUAGGUUACUCUGGGACUCUCCGAGGCCGGUGUUGGUGGGCAAUGUCCAGACGCAGGCCUGCGCGCAGAGGCUCGGAGGCCGGGGUCCCGUGGGGGGCGGGGGGGCGGGUGCUCCAAGCCCCGUGGGGACAGCUCAGGGGAGGGAGCGGACUCCAGGUCUUGGUCUCUGGGGGGCGGGCCUCCUCCUCUCGUGAACCCAAGGCUGAUGGUGGCUCCCUGAAAUGCUCCCAGGUGAGAAGGCAGAGACAGGAUGCGCUCUGGAGCAUCCCGGCUGGACCAGGACGGGUAGGCGCACCUGAGAAUCUGUCCCCAAAGCUGAGUCACCAGCAUGUCCCAGCCAAGCAGCAAGAGUGGCUUUUUGCCUGGGCCCCGUUUGGGAAGGCUGCUCUGUACAUGGUCUUCCCCGUUAUCGGGGGUAUUCAGAUAUUUACAUAUAUAACUAUAUAUAUCGGGGUGUCAGAGGGAAGGAGGCCACCACGUCCCACGGGAUUUUCCAAAACGGAGUUACUGACACUUAAGAUCCUGCCUCCUUGGUUCACCAAAGGGGGGGGUCACUCCCUCCAUCAGAUGGGAGCAGGGCAACGAACAGACUCCACAGCCAGGCAAACCUGUAGGAGCUCCGGGCACACGCGCUGUCUGGGUGUGCGCAGCCGCGUUCAUUCACAGAAGGUGCGCGGUGGGUAA
This 1026-nucleotide long non-coding RNA is filed under the name Canis lupus dingo (dingo). Its description in RNAcentral is "lncRNA (ENSCAFG00020026582.1)". The record is from RNAcentral. Lineage: Eukaryota; Metazoa; Chordata; Mammalia; Carnivora; Canidae.